RNAcentral lists this ribosomal RNA (425 nucleotides) under uncultured bacterium. Its description in RNAcentral is "bacterial SSU rRNA". It matches the Rfam family "Bacterial small subunit ribosomal RNA", at positions 359 to 776 of the family's 1533-position model. The record is from RNAcentral.
GAAUAUUGGACAAUGGGGGAAACCCUGAUCCAGCCAUGCCGCGUGUGUGAAGAAGGUCUUCGGAUUGUAAAGCACUUUAAGUUGGGAAGAAGGGCUGAUGCCUAAUACGUAUCAGUCUUGACGUUACCGACAGAAUAAGCACCGGCUAACUCUGUGCCAGCAGCCGCGGUAAUACAGAGGGUGCAAGCGUUAAUCGGAAUUACUGGGCGUAAAGCGCGCGUAGGUGGCUAAGUAAGAUGGGUGUGAAAUCCCCGGGCUCAACCUGGGAACUGCAUCCAUAACUGCUUGGCUAGAGUACGGUAGAGGGUAGUGGAAUUUCCUGUGUAGCGGUGAAAUGCGUAGAUAUAGGAAGGAACACCAGUGGCGAAGGCGACUACCUGGACUGAUACUGACACUGAGGUGCGAAAGCGUGGGGAGCAAACAGG